RNAcentral lists this ribosomal RNA (406 nucleotides) under uncultured bacterium. RNAcentral describes it as "partial 16S ribosomal RNA". It matches the Rfam family "Bacterial small subunit ribosomal RNA", at positions 30 to 526 of the family's 1533-position model. The record is from RNAcentral.
AUUGAACGCUGGCGGCAGGCUUAACACAUGCAAGUCGAGCGAGGCGGGGGCGGGUGAGUCAUGUCUGGGAACCCGUGCUAGGGAGGGGGAUCACCACUGGACACGGUAGCUAAUACCGCAUACUACCAGAUGUGCCCAGAAGGGAUUAGCUAGGAGGUGGGGUAAUGGCUCACCUAGGCGACGAUCCCUAGCUGGUCUGAGAGGAUGACCAGCCACACUGGCACUGAGACACGGUCCAGACUCCGUCGGGAGGGUGCAGUGGGGAAUAUUGCACAAUGGGUGCUAGCGUGAUGCAGCCAUGCCGCGUGUGUGAAGAAAGCCGUCGGGUUGGAAAGCACUUUCCGAGCAGAGGCGUUGCUCGUCCAAGCAUCACCGGCUAACUCCGUGCCAGCAGCCGCGGUAAUUC